This 401-nucleotide long non-coding RNA is filed under the name Prunus persica (peach). RNAcentral's name for it is "long non-coding RNA (PPER_LNC008443)". Lineage: Eukaryota; Viridiplantae; Streptophyta; Magnoliopsida; Rosales; Rosaceae. The record is from RNAcentral.
AGGCUGCGCAGCCAGGAGGAUGAGUGAGCUUUGGAGCUAUUAUGGUUUAUUUUGCUUCGUGUGUUUCCUACUAUGUUAGUUUUCAGCAUUUUGGAAGAAAUCUUAUGCAGGAUUUUGAUUUUGUUUUCAAUUCAGUACCAUUGGAUCUAGACUAUGUUACUAAUCUAGCUAUGUUGAAUGACAUGAAGUUCUGUCCACUCGUGUUUGGUUUUACCAUAUUUCUUUGCCCCUUCCGACCAUAUUUCCUUUUUCAUUCUGUAGGAAUCUUGUUCAGCCUAGAAAUAACUAAAAUUUACAUUCGUAACUUGUGAUUUGAGUUUCAUAUGCGACACACAGAAAGAAUACUUGACUGAAGAAUGAGCAGCUUUCAUUUUAUGAAACAAAUAAAUUCCUGCUUUUAC